GAUGAACGCUGGCGGCGUGCCUAAUACAUGCAGGUCGAGCGAACGGACGAGAAGCUUGCUCCUCUGAUGUUAGCGGCGGACGGGUGAGUAACACGUGGGUAACCUACCUAUAAGACUGGGAUAACUUCGGGAAACCGUAGCUAAUACCGGAUAAUAUUUUGAACCGCACGGUUCAAAAGUGAAAGACGGUCUUGCUGUCACUUAUAGAUGGAUCCGCGCUGCAUUAGCUAGUCGGUAAGGUAACGGCUUACCAAGGCAACGAUGCAUAGCCGACCUGAGAGGGUGAUCCGCCACGCUGGAACUGAGCCACGGUCCAGCCUCCUCCGGGAGGCCCCGGUAGGGCAGCUUCCGCAUUGGGCGAACGCCUGACGAAGCACAGCCGCGUGAGUAAUGGAGGUCUUCGGAUCCUAAAACUCUGUUAUUAGGGAGGAACCUAUGUGUAAGUAACUGUGCGCACUUUGGCGGUAGCUAAUCAGAUAGCCACGGCUAACUCCGUG
RNAcentral lists this ribosomal RNA (497 nucleotides) under uncultured bacterium. RNAcentral's name for it is "partial 16S ribosomal RNA". It matches the Rfam family "Bacterial small subunit ribosomal RNA", at positions 28 to 507 of the family's 1533-position model. The record is from RNAcentral.